RNAcentral lists this unclassified non-coding RNA (2082 nucleotides) under Leishmania donovani. RNAcentral's name for it is "gene:LdHU3.21.1910(CDS-product:hypothetical_prote in_conserved)". The record is from RNAcentral. Lineage: Eukaryota; Euglenozoa; Kinetoplastea; Trypanosomatida; Trypanosomatidae.
CCGUUGCGUACGAGACGACCAUCGACACACGCGCACAGACCCAGUACCGCGUGUCGAAGUAGGCAGGCUAGAAAAGGAGGCGGUUGUCUUUGAAGAGGCGGCUUACUUUCCAUCUUCGAUCGUUCUUCCGUUCGACCGACUACGACGAGCAGCAGCAUUGUCCGCCUCCCCCCUCCCUCCCUUCCCCGAGUCAUGAUGUCGCCACGCUCCGCUGCCCCGGCCUUGGCCUCGCCACGGCUCCGGUGUCGGUCAUUGGGCCGCACUACGCUCUCUUCACGGGCCACAGCUGCGAUGCUUUGCACUCUCAUCGCUGCAGUGCUCAUCUUGGUGGUCGCACCACCAGGAGCCCAGGCGGCUCCCGGGCCUUCCAGCUUCCGCUGCCUGCGGCCCUUCUCUGCUACGGGAACGUUCACGAACGUGGCCAAGGCGCACCCGACUCAGAACUGCGACUACUUUUAUUUCAGUGUCGAAGACGCAAAAGCGGAGCUGAAGUGCGCGUCACCAUCGGCUGCCACUACAGCGGUGUCGGACGAGAUGUCCUGCAAUGUGACGGUACGUAUGUCGAUGCGGCGGGCCUCAGACGUGGUGCCACGCCUGCAACGGCAGGUGGGCACCGACAAGGACUACUUUACGCAUGAAGCGAGCACGGACUCCACUACAGCGUCGCCCACCCGUGUUGGUAACACGCGCGCGUCCGCAGUGCCGUUCCUGACAGAGGACGAGGACGUCUGGCGCUACGCCGUCUCGCUGAAGGCCAAGGGCGACUCCUCCAUCCACUACAAGGGGUUCAACGGAGGCAACGGGUACAGCCUCUGCUGCGCUGCGCUGGAAGAGGCAGACUGCGCGUGGAUGACCCCGCAGAAGGGUGACAAAGACCUCGACUGUGACGAGGACGUCGACGUUCGGUUUGCGCCACAGCGUGGCCGUGUGCUGCGGGGUUGCCCUUUACCAUUUCCUGCACCGCGCAGCGCCGGCGACGGCGUCUUUGGCGCGUCGGCGGGUGCUCGUGUGCUGCUGACGGACCUGGACGAGGGGGAGGGCAGCGGCGUCUUCCAUGCUGUCAUCACGAAACCGCUGCACCGCUUUGUGGAGGGCCCGUGGGAGGUGAUGGUGCAGAUGUGGCGGCGACGCCAGCACAUGCCGCGAGUCGGCAGAGAAGAUUCCCUCUCCGUCCCUGCGGACCACAGCAUCGAGGCCGAGGUGCUCGGCCGUAUCAUGGUUCCCUUCACGCUAAACUUGACCGAGCUGCAGAAGCAGGGCCGUAUCACGCAAAUGCCGAGCAUGGCGCUAACCGUGGAAGACGUCGCAGAUGUGGCGCAGGCGGCAGGUGAGAAAGCCGCCGACGAAGCUGGUGACCUGUGACGCCGCUGCGGCGACCCAUAGUGGAGGGGCGCAGGUGUGUCCGUGUGUUUCUGCACGUCCAUCUUGCGUGCACGCGUAAAGCGCUUUCGACGAUGCUGCGGGGAAUAUCUCCUGGGCUCUCUCCCUCUCGAUCGCUUCUGUUUUCUUCUUCGGUCCUAUUCAUUGUUGCGGACCAGUCAUGCGCCCAGGCGCCGCCGCCCCCUCUCCCCAAUGGCCUCCGGCCCUCGCUGUUGCACACGGGGCUGGGCUCAUAUCCUGGUCUCUCCUUGUCAUCCGCACCUUCUGGAGUUCGUGUGUUUCUCAUCCUCUCUCUCCAGCGCUACGUCGGCGUACGUGUGCUUCGUGUCGCCGGCUUCGUCCGUACCGCUCGUGCGCCUGUAAUUCUUUUCCUCUCCCUAUGGCCUUGGAGGGGUUUGGGACUCGUCGCGGACCCGAUCCCAAGCAUGUGCACCGUCUCGAGUAGCCGUUGUCUUUCCUAUAUCCAUAUCCAUCGAUGUGUAUGUGAAGGAGCACAUGCCAGGACCCGCGCGGGGGCAAAGGGUGAUACACGCAGAUGCCCCUUCUUGUUGCGCUGCUCUCUGCUCUCUGCUUUCUCUCUCUCUGCCUGUCUGUCUGUGUCUGGUGCCCUACCCAUGCCCUCCCUUCCUGUUGCUGCGCGAAGCGGUGGUGAGCGCAAGGACGGACGCCGCUGCUAUAGAUACGUGAUGUUGGUGGAGGGGG